CAGCAGCCGCGGGAAUACGGAGGGUGCAAGCGUUAAUCGGAAUUACUGGGCGUAAAGCGCACGCAGGCGGUUUGUUAAGUCAGAUGUGAAAUCCCCGAGCUUAACUUGGGAACUGCAUUUGAAACUGGCAAGCUAGAGUCUUGUAGAGGGGGGUAGAAUUCCCGGUGUAGCGGUGAAAUGCGUAGAGAUCGGGAGGAACAUCAGUGGCGAAGGCGGCCAUCUGGGACAACACUGACGCUGAGGCACGAAAGCGUGGGGAGCAAACAGGAUUAGAUACCCCGGUAGUCCCUGUCUCUUAUAC
RNAcentral lists this ribosomal RNA (301 nucleotides) under uncultured bacterium. Its description in RNAcentral is "partial 16S ribosomal RNA". It matches the Rfam family "Bacterial small subunit ribosomal RNA", at positions 509 to 807 of the family's 1533-position model. The record is from RNAcentral.